This 253-nucleotide ribosomal RNA is filed under the name uncultured bacterium. Its description in RNAcentral is "partial 16S ribosomal RNA". It matches the Rfam family "Bacterial small subunit ribosomal RNA", at positions 524 to 776 of the family's 1533-position model. The record is from RNAcentral.
UACGUAGGGAGCAAGCGUUGUCCGGAAUCAUUGGGCGUAAAGAGCGUGUAGGCGGCCCGGUAAGUCCGCUGUGAAAGUCGGGGGCUCAACCCUCGAAUGCCGGUGGAUACUGUCGGGCUAGAGUGCGGAAGAGGCGAGUGGAAUUCCUGGUGUAGCGGUGAAAUGCGCAGAUAUCAGGAGGAACACCGAUUGCGAAGGCAGCUCGCUGGGACGUAACUGACGCUGAGACGCGAAAGCGUGGGGAGCAAACAGG